Molecule: long non-coding RNA, 237 nt
Filed under: Elaeis guineensis (African oil palm)
Lineage: Eukaryota; Viridiplantae; Streptophyta; Magnoliopsida; Arecales; Arecaceae
Description: long non-coding RNA (EGUI_LNC078997)
Source: RNAcentral
UCCUGUCCACCAUCCUCCUUUAUGUUUUAUCUUCAGUCCCCAUUCCUUCGGCUAUUUUUCAUAAAUUAGACAGGGAGUUUAGAGCCUUUCUUUGGGGACAUACUUUUGAUCAUUGGGGUUUUCACCCUUUAGCAUGAGAAAUUGUAUGUUUGUCUAAAAUGCGGCAACGUUUGGGCCUCUCUUCUUUGAUACAUGGAAGGUAUAAUAUGCUUUACAAAUUAACUGCUUAGGUGGUGC